GGUUUCCCUUUCCUUGCUGCCGGCCCCCCAGUUCCCCCCGGCCGCUCCCCGGGGGUGCGGAGCCCCGGGCCGGGCAGCCCCAGCCGGCACACGCGGCCGUGUCGCCUCCUCAAGCCGACGUGUGUGUGGAGGGAAAUCGAUGCAGAUAAUGUUUAGAAGAUUAAAAGAGCAUUAAUGCUGGCAACGGGAACAUAAACGCGUGGACCCAGUUCUCAUUGAUCUGGAACCUGAUCCGGCCGGUUUCCAGUAAUGCUGCCGGUGCUCGGCCUUCCCAGCACCCCGCUCCCCCCGGCCCCCCCGCCUGUCUCCGUGCCGCUGCCCCGGGGCGCCGCGGCGGCGGGGGGGCGGCCAGCGGGGCUUCCCCGGGCGGCCGGCUUGGGAUUUAGGCCGGCCCGGUUUUAGGAGGGCCGCUGGCACGCUCCCGCGGGCUCAACCCGGUUUCGCUGCGGGCUGGGUCACCCUGCGGGGGCGCGGGGCCGAGCCCCGGGUUUGUGCCGUCGGGCCCCCGGGGCCUUGCAGCCCCAGGGCAGCGGCUCCGGCCACGGCUGUGCCGGGAGAUUGGGGAACCAUCGCACCGGGACCCGGCGGGGAGGCAGAACCGGAGAGAGCCUGCCCCCGCAGCACCCUCGGGUCCCCCGGGCCGGGGCAGACGGCGCCGCCGCCGGGCCGAGGAGAAGCCCUUCCUCCCGUGCGGGGCCGGGGAAGCCUCCCGCAUCGAUCCCAUCGAUCCGCUCUCCCCUCCACGGAAGCCGCGCGGUUGGAGCCCCGCUCCAAGGGUUUGCUCGCCGCGCCUGCACCGCUCCGGUGGCACCGGGCAAAGAGCCGGGGAGGGGCCGCCAGGGCGCCGGGGCCGAGGAGCGGGCAGCAGGGGACGGCGGGGCCCCCCCGGCCCCUCCUGGGCCCCCCGGCCCCGGCCUUGUCGCCGCAGCGCCCGCCCACGCGGAAACGUCCCCGCGGGCUCGGUGUUUGCUGCGGCCGGAGGGCAGCGCCCGCAGAGCGUUAGCGAUCUGGGUGCGUCAGGGCGCUUAUCGGCACGGGCUCGGAGGGCAGAGUUCAGCGGCGGUUCAGGGCAGCUGCACCCGGAGCCCCGGCCUCCCGCCCGCCCUGCUGCGAGGUGCCGAGCCCCUUAUCGCCAGCCCAAGCCCUGGGUACACAGGGCAGGAAUGCGGCUCCAGGUGCUCCCGUGCCGCGCUCCUCCGCGGGUUUCCGAGCUCCCGCGGCUCCGGAGGGCCGGGCACGGGCCCCCCGUGGCCGCUUUCUCCCCGAGACUCCCGCUCGCGUUUCCUGCCUGCUGGAUCACCUUAUUGCCGACCGCACAUUUGGGUACCCAAACACCAGCAAUGAUUCAGAGCAGGCGCGCUCAGCGGCCUCCGCUCCUUCCCCACCGGGCGACCCCGGGCCGCCGGGGCCAGCGCCGCUUCCACCCGCCCGAGCGCGGCUGCGGGGCCGUGCGGGGCUGUGUGGGGCCGUGUGGGGCCGUGUGGGGCUCUGGGGGGCUCAGCGGGGCCGUGCGGGGCCGUGCGGGGCGCGCCGUGUCCCGGCGCCCCCGGUGCCGGAGCGGAGCCGCCGCUGCCAUCAGCACCACGGAGAGCGGCACGGGGCGGGGGGGCACCGGGGGAGCGGGGAGGGGCAGAGGG
RNAcentral lists this long non-coding RNA (1637 nucleotides) under Anas platyrhynchos platyrhynchos (common mallard). RNAcentral describes it as "lncRNA (ENSAPLG00000028617.1)". Lineage: Eukaryota; Metazoa; Chordata; Aves; Anseriformes; Anatidae. The record is from RNAcentral.